AGAAAAUAGUCCCCUUCCUUGUGGUGGUGACAGACUUGCGAGUGGCCCUGGGGUUCCCAUCUACUCCACUUGAACGUGGGUGGGACCUGUGACUUGCUUCUAACCAAUAGAAUAGGGCAAAGGUGAUGGGAUGUCCCUCUGUGAUUACAUUAGGUUAUAUAAGGCUUCACCCUGUUAGUGGACUUGCUAUAGAUACUCUCCCUGCUAACUUAAUAAAGCCAACAGCCAUGUUGGAAAAGCUCAUAUGGCCAGGAACUAUGGGUGGCUUCUAGGAACUACAGAAAACCUCUAUGAACUGUGGGAGACUUCUAGGAACUGUGAGUGAACUUUAGGAGCUAAGUAAGGCCUCCAGACAGCAAGAAGUCAGGACCCUCAGUCCUACAGCUGUAAGAAAAUAUAUUCUGUCAACAACCUGAGUGAGCUUGGAAGUGGAUUCUUCCCCAGACAAGCCCCCAGAUGAGAAUGCAGUCCAGCUGACACCUUCAUUGCAGCUUGGUGAGACCCUGAACAGAGGAUUCAGCCAAGCCAUGCCAGACUCUUGAUCCACAGAAACCCAUUUUCUGCUUUGAACACGUAAUGCUUGGGGAUUUAAAGAGAAAGAAGAACAAACGUUAUGAAAAGUCAAGCAAGAAUGAUUUCACGUGAGUGUGCGCUAACCACCUGAGCCUCCCUGGCUCCUGCCACACCUGCUGAAGACAGGAUUAGGUCAUGUCCUCCCUCAGUGAAGAGGAGAACCUGCCAAGUUGGAGUGGCUGCUCUCCCAGGGGUAUCAGGCACAGGUAACUCAUUCCACCCACACCGCCAAGCUGAAAGCGUAUUGACGUUUGCACUUAUGGUGCAAAAGAAAAAGUGGAAAAACCUGCUGGUGCCGUAGCACAAAUCAAGGCAGUGCACCAAACAGCACUCGUGGUCCCUGCGUUCUUCCAGUGGAAAAAAAAAUGCCAUUUCACUUCAUCAUGUCUUUGAUGAAGCAGAAUAAUCAUUACCUUUGUUAAAGCUCAAGGCUUGAGCACGUAUCUUUUUAGAUUCUGCAUGAGGACAUGGGACGAUGACAUCAUUCACUUCUACACAUGUCCAAGUUCCUUGUUUGUCUCAAGGAAAGACACUGGCACAAACAACUGAGUUGCAAUCUGAUAUAAACUCUUUCUUCAUGGAUUACCAUUUGUACUUGGAAGAACAACUGAAAAGCUAUAAGCGUUCAGACGUGGAUAACUGGCAGACAUGGUCUCAAAAAUUAAUUAAGUGAACCUGUUACGUAAAGGCAAACAACUGACAGUGUUUGUCGCCAAUGGUAACAGUCAAGCUUUUGAGUGAAAACUAGAACUUUGGAAAACACAUGUUAUUUUUAACUUGCCAGCUUCCCAAUCCUUACAGACUUUUCUGAUGAGAUCUGUGGUGACAUUGAUGAAUGUGGUAUUUUGAUGUUAUCUAAAAAAUUUGUCAGUAUCUGACAAAUAAUUCAGAUUCAAUAUUUCCCUGAUCUACAUAAUUCAGGGAGCCAAUAUUUCUUAAAUGUCCAAAGCAUCAUGUUACAAAAUCAUGCACAGGUAAAACAUUGAUUCAAAGUGUAAAAUAGCCAAUGGAUUUUAAGGUAACAUAGUAUGAAAAUUUCACUGAUAUGGUUUCAGAUUUCAGAUUACAACUUUUAAAGAACCUGACAGUAAAGUAUUGACAGUAUCAAAAAACCUAUUGUGUACAUCUCCCUUUUCCAACUACAUAUCAGCAUGAGGCUAAAUUUUUUUCUUAUAUUGCAGGCAAAACCAUAUAUGGCAACACAGUGAAUACAGAAUUAUGAGAUUAUGAGAAUCUGUCUAUUAAGUCACAUAUUAAAAAGAUUUGCAAAAAUGCCGCUCUUCUCAGUAACUUGUUUUGGAAAAUGUGGUUAUUUAUCAUAAAAAGUGUUAAUUAUAUAACACUGUAAUUAGUUCAUGAUUGUUACAUUUAAAUAAAUUAGUAGGUAAAUGAUUUUUAAAUUUCUCAGUUGUAAUUUCUAGUACAGUAAAUAUUAGUAGAUAUAACCCACAUUUUAAAAUAUAAAAGCUCUCUGGGGCCCUCAAUCAUUUUUAAGAGUGCAAAAGUGUUCUGAAGCCAAAAUGUUUGAGAACCACUAUUAUAUCAGAACCUUCCCCAUUGCAAUGAGAUCCUGGAGGUAAGAGCA
Long non-coding RNA from Balaenoptera acutorostrata (minke whale), 2158 nucleotides. RefSeq lists it as uncharacterized. NCBI's taxonomy places the organism in Eukaryota, Metazoa, Chordata, Mammalia, Artiodactyla, Balaenopteridae. The record is from RefSeq and is a predicted model, not a curated record. The transcript is spliced from 3 exons.